AUUGAACGCUGGCGGCAGGCCUACACAUGCAAGUCGAGCGGUUGAGGUAGCUUGCUACCGAAGCAGCGGCGAACGGGUGAGUAAUGCAUGGGAAUCUGCCUGGUAGUGGGGGACAACGUUUCGAAAGGAGCGCUAAUACCGCAUACGCCCUACGGGGGAAAGGGGGGGAUCUUCGGACCUCUCGCUAUCAGGUGAGCCCAUGUCAGAUUAGCUUGUUGGUGAGGUAAAGGCUCACCAAGGCGACGAUCUGUAACUGGUCUGAGAGGAUGAUCAGUCACACUGGAACUGAGACACGGUCCAGACUCCUACGGGAGGCAGCAGUGGGGAAUAUUGGACAAUGGGGGCAACCCUGAUCCAGCCAUGCCGCGUGUGUGAAGAAGGCCUUCGGGUUGUAAAGCACUUUCAGUGGGGAGAAAGGUCAUUCACCUAAUACGUGAGUGAAUUGAUGUUACCCACAGAAGAAGCACCGGCUAACUCCGUGCCAGCAGCCGCAGUAA
Molecule: ribosomal RNA, 497 nt
Filed under: uncultured bacterium
Lineage: Bacteria
Description: partial 16S ribosomal RNA
Rfam family: Bacterial small subunit ribosomal RNA
Source: RNAcentral